RNAcentral lists this long non-coding RNA (1210 nucleotides) under Rattus norvegicus (Norway rat). RNAcentral's name for it is "long non-coding RNA NONRATT031678". Lineage: Eukaryota; Metazoa; Chordata; Mammalia; Rodentia; Muridae. The record is from RNAcentral.
AUUUCCUGCCACUUCUUUGGAAAACAGGAAAUGGAAAGUGCAGGCCUGAUCAUUACCUUAUAUAUUUUUAAACAAAGAUAUUCUUUGAGUUUCUCGUUAGCGUAAGGCAAGCAAGCCGUGUGACGUCACAGAGACCCAGGGCAUCGACGAAGUCUCCGCCCUCCCCCAUUGCCUCCUGGCUGUAACCCCAGAUCCAACCCUAAAGGAAAAACCCAUCAGGCUCAGAUCAGGAAAAGUGCCCUGAGAGGGGGAUGGGGUGUGCCAACCCCUCAGGAAACCCAGGUCACCUUAGCAAACGUCUGACCUUCAGGUACUCUGAAGAUUUCCACACAGCUUGCCUCCCACAGAGGACGCAAUUUAGAAACCCAUCCUUUCUCACUUGAGAGGCUCCUUGACAUCGAAAGCCUGUGGGGUCUCCCCGGUGGCACCCUCAUUAAGGAAACGAAAUUUAAUUGUCAUUGGGACUGAGGACCUGUGUGGGAUGCUGCUCGCAGCGCUCACUCUGCAGUGACAAAGCAGUGGAGGUUGCCAGAAGCAUGCCGGCCUGGAAGGAAGAAGGUGGCGUCUGAGGAGCAUGCCAGUGCUGAAUUACCCCAUCUGUCGCGUUAAUAACCAAUUGGUCCAGGGGGCUGGGACAUACGGUACCUAUUAGGAUCUGUCUGCACACACAUAACUAUUCAUUUCAUCUGCACAAAUGACUGCUUACUCAUGCAAAUGGCAGGCCUAAAUGCCCACAUUGGGAAAUGCAGCUAAGAAGGCACUUCCUCAACAAAGGUUAUGUUCUAACCCCAGAGAUGUCGAAGCCUAGGAGCCGCCAUGCUGUGGAUGCACUAAACCUCCUACUUGGAAGAAAGAAAGAAAGAAAGAAAGAAAGAAAGAAAGAAAGAAGGAAAGGAAGGAAGGAGAGAAAGGCUGGUCAGCACGAAGGCUCAUUGGAUUAAAGUGUUUGCAGCUAUGCCUAAUGACCUGAGUUUGAGCCCCAGGACCCACAAGGUGAAUAAAAAGAACCAAACUGUCCUCUGACCUCUACACUUGCACUGUAGUGUCCAUGUAUGCUAGCAUUCUGUCUAAGCUCCACCCCCACAGUUACCUGGCAACAGCCAGGUGUGCCCGACACUAAAAGGGGCUGCUUGCCCCCUCCUCACUCUUGUUCCCUCCUGCUCUCUUGCUCUUCCCCUCUUCCCCUUUGUCCCUUCUCUCCCCGUUCUCC